RNAcentral lists this non-coding RNA (30 nucleotides) under Homo sapiens (human). Lineage: Eukaryota; Metazoa; Chordata; Mammalia; Primates; Hominidae. The record is from RNAcentral.
UUCAUGGGUGACAAGUAGGCUGGCCCUGGA